ACCCCCGAGAACAUGGAGGCGGCGGCGCGGCGGCGGGAGCGGGAACAGGAGCAGGAGCAGGAGCAGCAGCAGCAGCAGGGUGUGGCGGCGAAUGGCGGCCGGGCGCUGUCGCUGUCGCUGUCGGGGCAGUCCUACUGGCUGGACCUGUGGCUCUUCGUCCUCUUCGAUCUGGCGCUCUUCGUGGUCAUCUACCUGCUGCCAUGAGGGCGCCGGGCCCAGAACCACUAUCUAAUCACAGGAUGCACCUUAUGAAAACAAGCAGUGGAAGAGGAGGACCAUUUGUGCACUAUAACCAACCAGGCACACAACUCCACUUGCAUCUGAAUGCAAGAGGCAUAUAUAUAUAUACACUGUAUCGUAACAUAUCUCUGGCUGUAUCACAAGUGUUACUGUUCAGGUUUUUACCUGGAUCCUGUUUCUGUGUCCUAAACUGUGCCUUAAAGGUCACGUAAGACAGCUUGACCAUGCUUUUGUAAUUAGUGUCUAAAGGUUUAAGCAGAAAUGAAAAUAUGUAUUGUUUGAAUAAAAUCAA
Molecule: long non-coding RNA, 532 nt
Organism: Gymnogyps californianus (California condor)
Lineage: Eukaryota; Metazoa; Chordata; Aves; Accipitriformes; Cathartidae
Exons: 2
Source: RefSeq, a predicted model, not a curated record